UCAAGCAGAAAGGGCACAGGGCGGAUGCCUUGGCACUAAGGGCCGAAGAAAGACGUGAUAAGCUGCGAUAAGCUUCGGGGAGGAGCAAAUAUCCAUUGAUCCGGAGAUUUCUGAAUGGGGAAACCCACACGAGGAAACCUCGUGUAUCCAUACGCCAAUCCAUAACGUAUGGAGGGGAACCCGGGGAACUGAAACAUCUAAGUACCCGGAGGAAAAGAAAGAAAACUCGAUUCCGUAAGUAGCGGCGAGCGAACGCGGAAGAGCCUAAACCAGAUCGCGUGCGAUCUGGGGUUACGGACUGCAUUUAAGAUUCUGUGAUGUUAGUAGAACGGUUUUGGGAAAGCCGGCCAGAGAGGGUGAAAGCCCCGUACACGAAAACAGAGCAGACUGAGCAGGAUCCAGAGUACCGCGGGACACGAGAAACCCUGCGGGAAGUAAGGGGGACCACCCCCUAAGGCUAAAUACCACUUAGUGACCGAUAGCGCAUAGUACUGUGAAGGAAAGGUGAAAAGGACCCCGGGAGGGGAGUGAAAGAGAACCUGAAACCCUGUGUCUACAAGCUGUGGGAGUGCUUUAUAUGCACGACCGCGUACUUUUUGUAGAACGGUCCGGCGAGUUGCGCUCACUGGCAAGGUUAAGAUCUUAAGGAUCGGAGCCGUAGGGAAACCAAGUCUUAACAGGGCCAGAGUCAGUGGGGGCAGACCCGAAACCGGGUGAUCUAUCCAUGUCCAGGUUGAAGCUGCCGUAAGAGGCAGUGGAGGACCGAACCCACAUCCGUUGAAAAGGGUGGGGAUGAGGUGUGGAUAGGGGAGAAAUUCCAAUCGAACCCGGAGAUAGCUGGUUCUCCUCGAAAUAGCUUUAGGGCUAGCCUUGGUAGAGAUUUGCGGAGGUAGAGCACUGAAUUUCCUAGGGGGCGUCAAAGCCUACCGAAGAAUAUCAAACUCCGAAUGCCGUGUAAUUACUUACCAGGAGUCAGACUACACGAGAUAAGUUGGGUGGUCAAAAGGGAAAGAGCCCAGACCUUCAGUUAAGGUCCCAAAGUGUGCGUUAAGUGGAAAAGGAUGUGGGAUUUCGAAGACAACCAGGAUGUUGGCUCAGAAGCAGCCAUUCAUUCAAAGAGUGCGUAAUAGCUCACUGGUCGAGAGGUCCUGCGCCGAAAAUGUCCGGGGCUGAAACGCACCACCGAAACUAAGGAAUCUAGUAAUAGAUUGGUAGAGGAGCAUUGCAUGCGGGAUGAAGCAGUACCGUAAGGAGCUGUGGACUGCAUGGAAGAGAGAAUGCCGGAAUGAGUAGCGAGAUAGAGGUGAGAAUCCUCUAGGCCGAAUAUCCAAGGUUUCCAGGGUAAAGCUGAUCUGCCCUGGGUAAGUCGGGGCCUAAGGUGAGGACGAGAGUCGUAGCCGAUGGACAACAGGUGGAGAUUCCUGUACUAUGAUAUGACAGAACUGUGGGGACACGUGCAGAGAGCGGAAGCCGGGAAUGGAAUCCCGGUGCAAGCGGGGUACCAGUCGCAUUGGAAAAACCGUGCGGCAAUGGGAAGACGUGAUGCGGAGUGAAAUAUAGUAACGAAGUCCGUGAGCUGUGCGUCAAGAAAAGCCGCUAUUGUUCAUACCAUACCCGUACCGUAAACCGACACAGGUGGAUGAGGAGAGAAUCCUAAGGCCGGCGGAAGAAGCAUUGUCAAGGAACUCGGCAAAAUGACCCCGUAACUUCGGGAGAAGGGGUGCCACUGAGAAGUGGCCGCAGAGAAUAGGCUCAAGCAACUGUUUAGCAAAAACACAGGUCUAUGCGAAACCGUAAGGUGAGGUAUAUGGGCUGACGCCUGCCCGGUGCUGGAAGGUUAAGAGGAGAGGUUAGCGCAAGCGAAGCUUUGAAUUUAAGCCCCAGUAAACGGCGGCCGUAACUAUAACGGUCCUAAGGUAGCGAAAUUCCUUGUCGGGUAAGUUCCGACCCGCACGAAAGGCGUAAUGAUUUGAGCACUGUCUCG
RNAcentral lists this ribosomal RNA (1984 nucleotides) under metagenome. Its description in RNAcentral is "bacterial LSU rRNA". It matches the Rfam family "Bacterial large subunit ribosomal RNA", at positions 1 to 2023 of the family's 2925-position model. The record is from RNAcentral.